AUUGAACGCUGGCGGCAGGCCUAACACAUGCAAGUCGAACGGUAACAGGAAGAAGCUUGCUUCUUUGCUGACGAGUGGCGGACGGGUGAGUAAUGUCUGGGAAACUGCCUGAUGGAGGGGGAUAACUACUGGAAACGGUAGCUAAUACCGCAUAACGUCGCAAGACCAAAGAGGGGGACCUUCGGGCCUCUUGCCAUCGGAUGUGCCCAGAUGGGAUUAGCUAGUAGGUGGGGUAACGGCUCACCUAGGCGACGAUCCCUAGCUGGUCUGAGAGGAUGACCAGCCACACUGGAACUGAGACACGGUCCAGGCUCCUACGGGAGGCAGCAGCGGGGAAUAUUGCACAAUGGGCGCAAGCCUGAUGCAGCCAUGCCGCGUGUAUGAAGAAGGCCUUCGGGUUGUAAAGUACUUUCAGCGGGGAGGAAGGGAGUAAAGUUAAUACCUUUACUCAUUGACGUUACCCGCAGAAGAAGCACCGGCUAACUCCGUG
This 490-nucleotide ribosomal RNA is filed under the name uncultured bacterium. RNAcentral's name for it is "partial 16S ribosomal RNA". It matches the Rfam family "Bacterial small subunit ribosomal RNA", at positions 30 to 507 of the family's 1533-position model. The record is from RNAcentral.